This 166-nucleotide ribosomal RNA is filed under the name Trechispora sp. RNAcentral describes it as "partial large subunit ribosomal RNA". It matches the Rfam family "Eukaryotic large subunit ribosomal RNA", at positions 99 to 260 of the family's 3401-position model. Lineage: Eukaryota; Fungi; Basidiomycota; Agaricomycetes; Trechisporales; Hydnodontaceae. The record is from RNAcentral.
CGGGAAAAGCUCAAAUUUCAAAUCUGGCGAUCCCGUCGCCCGAGUUGUAUUCUGGAGAAGCGUCUUCUGCGCCGGACCGUGUACAAGUCCCUUGGAACAGGGCGUCGUAGAGGGUGAGAAUCCCGUCUUUGACACGGACCCCCGGUGCUAUGUGAUGCGCUCUCGA